CCUACGGGUGGCAGCAGUGGGGAAUAUUGGGCAAUGGGCGCAAGCCUGACCCAGCAACGCCGCGUGAAUGAAGAAGGCCCUCGGGUUGUAAACUUCUUUUGUCAGGGACGAAACAAAUGACGGUACCUGACGAAUAAGCCACGGCUAACUACGUGCCAGCAGCCGCGGUAAUACGUAGGUGGCAAGCGUUAUUCGGAUGUACUGGGUGGAAAGGGCGUGUAGGCGGGGGAGCAAGUCAGAUGUGAAAUUCCAGGGCUCAACCCAGGAACUGCAUUUGAAACUGUUUUUCUUGAGUGAUGGAGAGGCAGGCGGAAUUCCGUGUGUAGCGGUGAAAGGCGUAGAUAUACGGAGGAACACCAGUGGCGAAGGCGGCCUGCUGGACAUUAACUGACGCUGAGGCGCGAAAGCGUGGGGAGCAAACAGGAUUAGAUACCCCGGUAGUC
Molecule: ribosomal RNA, 443 nt
Filed under: uncultured bacterium
Lineage: Bacteria
Description: partial 16S ribosomal RNA
Rfam family: Bacterial small subunit ribosomal RNA
Source: RNAcentral